UGACAGUGCGCCUCGUGUUAGGCGGCGGUU
RNAcentral lists this small RNA (30 nucleotides) under Bombyx mori (domestic silkworm). RNAcentral's name for it is "ovarian small RNA-31424". Lineage: Eukaryota; Metazoa; Arthropoda; Insecta; Lepidoptera; Bombycidae. The record is from RNAcentral.